RNAcentral lists this ribosomal RNA (1165 nucleotides) under Staphylococcus epidermidis. RNAcentral describes it as "partial 23S ribosomal RNA". It matches the Rfam family "Bacterial large subunit ribosomal RNA", at positions 1 to 1161 of the family's 2925-position model. Lineage: Bacteria; Bacillati; Bacillota; Bacilli; Caryophanales; Staphylococcaceae. The record is from RNAcentral.
AGAUUAAGUUAUUAAGGGCGCACGGUGGAUGCCUUGGCACUAGAAGCCGAUGAAGGACGUUACUAACGACGAUAUGCUUUGGGUAGCUGUAAGUAAGCGUUGAUCCAGAGAUUUCCGAAUGGGGGAACCCAGCAUGAGUUAUGUCAUGUUAUCGACAUGUGAAUUCAUAGCAUGUCAGAAGGCAGACCCGGAGAACUGAAACAUCUUAGUACCCGGAGGAAGAGAAAGAAAAAUCGAUUCCCUGAGUAGCGGCGAGCGAAACGGGAAGAGCCCAAACCAACAAGCUUGCUUGUUGGGGUUGUAGGACACUCUAUACGGAGUUACAAAAGAACAUGUUAGACGAAUCAUCUGGAAAGAUGAAUCAAAGAAGGUAAUAAUCCUGUAGUCGAAAACAUAUUCUCUCUUGAGUGGAUCCUGAGUACGACGGAGCACGUGAAAUUCCGUCGGAAUCUGGGAGGACCAUCUCCUAAGGCUAAAUACUCUCUAGUGACCGAUAGUGAACCAGUACCGUGAGGGAAAGGUGAAAAGUACCCCGGAAGGGGAGUGAAAGAGAACUUGAAACCGUGUGCUUACAAGUAGUCAGAGCCCGUUAAUGGGUGAUGGCGUGCCUUUUGUAGAAUGAACCGGCGAGUUACGAUCUGAUGCAAGGUUAAGCAGCAAAUGUGGAGCCGCAGCGAAAGCGAGUCUGAAUAGGGCGUUGAGUAUUUGGUCGUAGACCCGAAACCAGGUGAUCUACCCUUGGUCAGGUUGAAGUUCAGGUAACACUGAAUGGAGGACCGAACCGACUUACGUUGAAAAGUGAGCGGAUGAACUGAGGGUAGCGGAGAAAUUCCAAUCGAACUUGGAGAUAGCUGGUUCUCUCCGAAAUAGCUUUAGGGCUAGCCUCAAGUGAUGAUUAUUGGAGGUAGAGCACUGUUUGGACGAGGGGCCCCUCUCGGGUUACCGAAUUCAGACAAACUCCGAAUGCCAAUUAAUUUAACUUGGGAGUCAGAACAUGGGUGAUAAGGUCCGUGUUCGAAAGGGAAACAGCCCAGACCACCAGCUAAGGUCCCAAAAUAUAUGUUAAGUGGAAAAGGAUGUGGCGUUGCCCAGACAACUAGGAUGUUGGCUUAGAAGCAGCCAUCAUUUAAAGAGUGCGUAAUAGCUCACUAGUCGAGUGACCCUG